AGCGACUAAGCGUACACGGUGGAUGCCCUGGCAGUCAGAGGCGAUGAAGGGCGUGCUAAUCUGCGAUAAGCGCCGGUAAGGUGAUAUGAACCGUUAUAACCGGCGAUACCCGAAUGGGGAAACCCAGUGUGACUCGUCACACUAUCAUUAACUGAAUCCAUAGGUUAAUGAGGCGAACCGGGGGAACUGAAACAUCUAAGUACCCCGAGGAAAAGAAAUCAACCGAGAUUCCCCCAGUAGCGGCGAGCGAACGGGGAGGAGCCCAGAGCCUGAAUCAGCAUGUGUGUUAGUGGAAGCGUCUGGAAAGGCGCGCGAUACAGGGUGACAGCCCCGUACACAAAAGCGCAUGUGCUGUGAGCUCGAUGAGUAGGGCGGGACACGUGGUAUCCUGUCUGAAUAUGGGGGGACCAUCCUCCAAGGCUAAAUACUCCUGACUGACCGAUAGUGAACCAGUACCGUGAGGGAAAGGCGAAAAGAACCCCGGCGAGGGGAGUGAAAAAGAACCUGAAACCGUGUACGUACAAGCAGUGGGAGCACCCUUUGGGUGUGACUGCGUACCUUUUGUAUAAUGGGUCAGCGACUUAUAUUCUGUAGCAAGGUUAACCGAAUAGGGGAGCCGGAGGGAAACCGAGUCUUAACCGGGCGUUAAGUUGCAGGGUAUAGACCCGAAACCCGGUGAUCUAGCCAUGGGCAGGUUGAAGGUUGGGUAACACUAACUGGAGGACCGAACCGACUAAUGUUGAAAAAUUAGCGGAUGACCUGUGGCUGGGGGUGAAAGGCCAAUCAAACCGGGAGAUAGCUGGUUCUCCCCGAAAGCUAUUUAGGUAGCGCCUCGUGAAUUCAUCUCCGGGGGUAGAGCACUGUUUCGGCUAGGGGGCCAUCCCGGCUUACCAACCCGAUGCAAACUGCGAAUACCGGAGAAUGUUAUCACGGGAGACACACGGCGGGUGCUAACGUCCGUCGUGAAGAGGGAAACAACCCAGACCGCCAGCUAAGGUCCCAAAGUCAUGGUUAAGUGGGAAACGAUGUGGGAAGGCCCAGACAGCCAGGAUGUUGGCUUAGAAGCAGCCAUCAUUUAAAGAAAGCGUAAUAGCUCACUGGUCGAGUCGGCCUGCGCGGAAGAUGUAACGGGGCUAAACCAUGCACCGAAGCUGCGGCAGCGACACUGUGUGUUGUUGGGUAGGGGAGCGUUCUGUAAGCCUGUGAAGGUGUGUCGUGAGGCAUGCUGGAGGUAUCAGAAGUGCGAAUGCUGACAUAAGUAACGAUAAAGCGGGUGAAAAGCCCGCUCGCCGGAAGACCAAGGGUUCCUGUCCAACGUUAAUCGGGGCAGGGUGAGUCGACCCCUAAGGCGAGGCCGAAAGGCGUAGUCGAUGGGAAACGGGUUAAUAUUCCCGUACUUGGUGUUACUGCGAAGGGGGGACGGAGAAGGCUAUGUUGGCCGGGCGACGGUUGUCCCGGUUUAAGCGUGUAGGUGUGUGUUCCAGGUAAAUCCGGUUCACUUUAACACUGAGGCGUGACGACGAGGCACUACGGUGCUGAAGCAACAAAUGCCCUGCUUCCAGGAAAAGCCUCUAAGCAUCAGGUAACAUCAAAUCGUACCCCAAACCGACACAGGUGGUCAGGUAGAGAAUACCAAGGCGCUUGAGAGAACUCGGGUGAAGGAACUAGGCAAAAUGGUGCCGUAACUUCGGGAGAAGGCACGCUGACACGUAGGUGAAGUGAUUUACUCAUGGAGCUGAAGUCAGUCGAAGAUACCAGCUGGCUGCAACUGUUUAUUAAAAACACAGCACUGUGCAAACACGAAAGUGGACGUAUACGGUGUGACGCCUGCCCGGUGCCGGAAGGUUAAUUGAUGGGGUCAGCGCAAGCGAAGCUCCUGAUCGAAGCCCCGGUAAACGGCGGCCGUAACUAUAACGGUCCUAAGGUAGCGAAAUUCCUUGUCGGGUAAGUUCCGACCUGCACGAAUGGCGUAAUGAUGGCCAGGCUGUCUCCACCCGAGACUCAGUGAAAUUGAACUCGCUGUGAAGAUGCAGUGUACCCGCGGCAAGACGGAAAGACCCCGUGAACCUUUACUAUAGCUUGACACUGAACAUUGAGCCUUGAUGUGUAGGAUAGGUGGGAGGCUUUGAAGUGUGGACGCCAGUCUGCAUGGAGCCGACCUUGAAAUACCACCCUUUAAUGUUUGAUGUUCUAACGUGGACCCGUUACCCGGGUUGCGGACAGUGUCUGGUGGGUAGUUUGACUGGGGCGGUCUCCUCCUAAAGAGUAACGGAGGAGCACGAAGGUUGGCUAAUCCUGGUCGGACAUCAGGAGGUUAGUGCAAUGGCAUAAGCCAGCUUGACUGCGAGCGUGACGGCGCGAGCAGGUGCGAAAGCAGGUCAUAGUGAUCCGGUGGUUCUGAAUGGAAGGGCCAUCGCUCAACGGAUAAAAGGUACUCCGGGGAUAACAGGCUGAUACCGCCCAAGAGUUCAUAUCGACGGCGGUGUUUGGCACCUCGAUGUCGGCUCAUCACAUCCUGGGGCUGAAGUAGGUCCCAAGGGUAUGGCUGUUCGCCAUUUAAAGUGGUACGCGAGCUGGGUUUAGAACGUCGUGAGACAGUUCGGUCCCUAUCUGCCGUGGGCGCUGGAGAACUGAGGGGGGCUGCUCCUAGUACGAGAGGACCGGAGUGGACGCAUCACUGGUGUUCGGGUUGUCAUGCCAAUGGCACUGCCCGGUAGCUAAAUGCGGAAGAGAUAAGUGCUGAAAGCAUCUAAGCACGAAACUUGCCCCGAGAUGAGUUCUCCCUGAGACUUAAAGUCUCCUGAAGGAACGUUGAAGACGACGACGUUGAUAGGCCGGGUGUGUA
Molecule: ribosomal RNA, 2845 nt
Filed under: Salmonella enterica subsp. enterica serovar Enteritidis
Lineage: Bacteria; Pseudomonadati; Pseudomonadota; Gammaproteobacteria; Enterobacterales; Enterobacteriaceae
Description: partial 23S ribosomal RNA
Rfam family: Bacterial large subunit ribosomal RNA
Source: RNAcentral